Selaginella moellendorffii is the source of this 938-nucleotide long non-coding RNA. RefSeq lists it as uncharacterized. The record is from RefSeq and is a predicted model, not a curated record. The transcript has 2 exons. Lineage: Eukaryota; Viridiplantae; Streptophyta; Lycopodiopsida; Selaginellales; Selaginellaceae.
AAACAUAUCUUAAGUCGUGGUGAUCGAGAAGAUGGGGAAUUUUCUUAAAAUAUAGGAGUGAGAAACCGGGAACUCACAACGAUGCCGUAUGACAAGCGAGUCCGCCUUCCAUUGAGCAGGACUUCUCCACUCUGCGUCGUGUUCUUGGCCAGCCUCCCUGCGACAGAUCGGCCUCGAUCAAGAGAUCAAAAAGACGAAGCUUGCAAACCUGCUAGAGCGUCCAGUAACGUCGACUUUCCGGAUCCAGACGGCCCCAUGACGGCCAUGAGAUAUCCCGGCUCGGCGUAUCCAUUGAGACCGUGGAGCAGCGAGCGCGUCUCUCCCUUAGCAUUGGUGGCCGAGACGAAGAGAUCUCUCCAAGUAAGCCGCGCAGAUAUGUCGGUCUCCUCGUCCCCGGUCUUGUUCUUCCACAGGCUCAAGCUGAGGGGGCUCAGCAUUCCCAUGGUGUUGGUUUGAGCAGCGCUUCUCUCCAUCCGAGCGUGGCUUCCAUGAGGUGUUGUGGAGGACCGCAGCACGGUGGUGGUGGAGGCAUUCAAGCUCUGGGCAUGAAAGGAAUCGAAGAGGAUGAAGAAGGAGGAGAGAGCUUGAUCGGUGGAGAGGGAGAGAAAACGAGCAACGCAGCUGUGACAAGGAGACUCUGAAACGAGUUUAAAGACGAGAGACCAGUGGAGAAAAAGCUUGGCGAUGGAGAGUGAGUAACAACUGGGCGUGACGGCGUAGCACAAGCAGACGAUGACUGAAUUAAAGGCAACGAGACAAAGUGGACGGCUUCGCAGCGCAGCAAUCGCCCUUGUAAACAAACCAAGGAGAAAGAAAGAAGGCACGGAGAAGAAAGAAGGAAAGAAGAAAAGGAGGAAGUUUGGUGUGAAAAAUAACUGAUUUUUGCCGAGGUCAGGGAAUGAAAAGCUUUGUUUCUUUGGCGACCCACCGCCAUUAAA